This 546-nucleotide unclassified non-coding RNA is filed under the name Hevea brasiliensis (rubber tree). Lineage: Eukaryota; Viridiplantae; Streptophyta; Magnoliopsida; Malpighiales; Euphorbiaceae. The record is from RNAcentral.
CUGUAUCAACAAAACCAACAGAAGAAUCCAGAUUAGAUCAAAAUGUGCCUAUGUGAAUCCAAAUAAGUAUUCUGACCCCAUUAUUCUUUGGCAAAUAAAGAGAUGAUAAAGCAUGCUAGUAAUGAACUGAUACAAAUUACCUAAAAGGGAAAGUAAAGGGUACCAGAAGGAUCGCCUAAGCUGAGAUAUGCAACUUCUUAUACACAUUUGCCUCAAAUUGAGUCCUCUUGAUAAUUUCAGUGAUGUCUUUUUCGUUUAUAGUAAUGAUCGUCUUCGUCACCAUCCUCAUCUGACCCACUGACCAUCUGCCACCUUUCACGACUCAGCUCAUUAUUCAUAGACCUUGAAUUAUGCCUAGAAUGUCUUGAUCCAUGACUGGAAUCUCUCUCUUUCCAUUGUGCUUUAUGAUCACUGGAUAAGCUUUGUUGCAAACCAGAUUCUGAUUGGCUAUGAUGUUUCUGCUUGUCUCUUUUGCCUUCAGAACCAACUCUCUUUCUUUUAACAUCUUUUGUUUUACUACUUUGAUGUUGACGUUGACCGUGACUA